Molecule: ribosomal RNA, 465 nt
Filed under: uncultured bacterium
Lineage: Bacteria
Description: partial 16S ribosomal RNA
Rfam family: Bacterial small subunit ribosomal RNA
Source: RNAcentral
GACGAACGCUGGCGGCGUGCUUAACACAUGCAAGUCGAACGGAAAGGCCCUGCUUGCAGGGUACUCGAGUGGCGAACGGGUGAGUAACACGUGGGUGAUCUGCCCUGCACUUCGGGAUAAGCCUGGGAAACUGGGUCUAAUACCGGAUAUGACCUUCCAUGUAGUGUGGGGGGUGGAAAGAUUUAUCGGUGUGGGAUGAGCCCGCGGCCUAUCAGCUUGUUGGUGGGGUAAUGGCCUACCAAGGCGUCGACGGGUAGCCGGCCUGAGAGGGUGGACGGCCACAUUGGGACUGAGAUACGGCCCAGACUCCUACGGGAGGCAGCAGUGGGGAAUAUUGCACAAUGGACGGAAGCCUUAUGCAGCGACGCCGCGUGGGGGAUGACGGCCUUCGGGUUGUAAACCUCUUUCGACAGGGACGAAGCUUCGGUGACGGUACCUGUAUAAGAAGCACCGGCUAACUACGUG